CCUACGGGAGGCAGCAGUGAGGAAUAUUGGUCAAUGGGCGUAAGCCUGAACCAGCCAAGUCGCGUGAGGGAUGAAGGUUCUAUGUAUCGUAAACCUCUUUUAUAAGGGAAUAAAGUGCGGGACGUGUCCCGUUUUGUAUGUACCUUAUGAAUAAGGAUCGGCUAACUCCGUGCCAGCAGCCGCGGUAAUACGGAGGAUCCGAGCGUUAUCCGGAUUUAUUGGGUUUAAAGGGUGCGUAGGCGGCCUUUUAAGUCAGCGGUUAAAGUCAGUGGCUCAAACCUAGCAUUGCAGUUGAAACUGGGAGGCUUGAGUAUGAGAGAGGUAGGCGGAAUGCGAGGUGUAGCGGUGAAAUGCUUAGAUAUCAGGAAGAACCCCGAUUGCGAAGGCAGCCUGCCGGGUCAAGACUGACGCUGAUGCACGAAAGCGUGGGGAGCAAACAGGAUUAGAUACCCUUGUAGUC
This 460-nucleotide ribosomal RNA is filed under the name uncultured bacterium. RNAcentral's name for it is "partial 16S ribosomal RNA". It matches the Rfam family "Bacterial small subunit ribosomal RNA", at positions 338 to 795 of the family's 1533-position model. The record is from RNAcentral.